This 669-nucleotide ribosomal RNA is filed under the name uncultured bacterium. RNAcentral's name for it is "bacterial SSU rRNA". It matches the Rfam family "Bacterial small subunit ribosomal RNA", at positions 79 to 766 of the family's 1533-position model. The record is from RNAcentral.
AGAGGUUUGUGACUGAGUGGCGGACGGGUGAGUAACGCGUGGGUAACCUGCCUCAUACAGGGGGAUAACAGUUAGAAAUGACUGCUAAUACCGCAUAAGACCACGGAGCCGCAUGGCUCCGUGGGAAAAACUCCGGUGGUAUGAGAUGGACCCGCGUCUGAUUAGGUAGUUGGUGGGGUAACGGCCUACCAAGCCAACGAUCAGUAGCCGACCUGAGAGGGUGACCGGCCACAUUGGGACUGAGACACGGCCCAAACUCCUACGGGAGGCAGCAGUGGGGAAUAUUGCACAAUGGGGGAAACCCUGAUGCAGCGACGCCGCGUGAGCGAAGAAGUAUUUCGGUAUGUAAAGCUCUAUCAGCAGGGAAGAAAAUGACGGUACCUGACUAAGAAGCACCGGCUAAAUACGUGCCAGCAGCCGCGGUAAUACGUAUGGUGCAAGCGUUAUCCGGAUUUACUGGGUGUAAAGGGAGCGUAGACGGCUGUGUAAGUCUGAAGUGAAAGCCCGGGGCUCAACCCCGGGACUGCUUUGGAAACUAUGCAGCUAGAGUGUCGGAGAGGUAAGUGGAAUUCCCAGUGUAGCGGUGAAAUGCGUAGAUAUUGGGAGGAACACCAGUGGCGAAGGCGGCUUACUGGACGAUGACUGACGUUGAGGCUCGAAAGCGUGGGG